Molecule: ribosomal RNA, 473 nt
Filed under: uncultured bacterium
Lineage: Bacteria
Description: bacterial SSU rRNA
Rfam family: Bacterial small subunit ribosomal RNA
Source: RNAcentral
AGAGUUUGAUCAUGGCUCAGAACGUACGCUGGCGGCACGCCUAACACAUGCAAGUCGAACGAAGUAGCAAUACUUAGUGGCAGACGGGUGAGUAACAUGUAGGUAUCUGCCCUUUGGCCUGGAAUAACACGAGGAAACUUGUGCUAAUACCGGAUAAGUCUUUACAGAGAAAGCUUUAUGCACCAUUGGAUGAGCCUGCACUUGAUUAGUUUGUUGGUGGGGUAAUGGCCUACCAAGACUGUGAUCAAUAGCUGAUUUGAGAGGAUGAUCAGCCACAUUGGGACUGAGACACGGCCCAAACUCCUACGGGAGGCAGCAGUGGGGAAUCUUGCACAAUGGAGGAAACUCUGAUGCAGCGAUGCCGCGUGAGUGAAGAAGGCCUUUGGGUUGUAAAGCUCUUUCGUCGGGGAAGAAAAUGACUGUACCCGAAUAAGAAGGUCCGGCUAACUUCGUGCCAGCCGCCGCGGUAAUAC